RNAcentral lists this unclassified non-coding RNA (286 nucleotides) under Hevea brasiliensis (rubber tree). Lineage: Eukaryota; Viridiplantae; Streptophyta; Magnoliopsida; Malpighiales; Euphorbiaceae. The record is from RNAcentral.
GCUCCGAGGGUUCAUACUGGCUCCACUCAAACAGCUCUGGAAGUUGAUUCUGGAGAGAAACGUCUAAAUGAGCUUGGAUACAAGCAAGAACUCAGAAGAGAAAUGACCUUGUUUAAGACGCUUGCAAUUACGUUCUCGAGCAUGGCAGUUUUUACUGGAACACCGCUGUAUGGCCCAAGCCUACUUUAUGCAGGACCUGCAAGCAUGAUUUGGGGAUGGCUGGUGGUCACAUUCUUCACCUGGUUUGUUGGAAUAGCCAUGGCUGAAAUUUGCUCCUCUUUUCCUG